Molecule: ribosomal RNA, 492 nt
Filed under: uncultured bacterium
Lineage: Bacteria
Description: partial 16S ribosomal RNA
Rfam family: Bacterial small subunit ribosomal RNA
Source: RNAcentral
AGUGAACGCUGGCGGUAGGCCUAACACAUGCAAGUCGAACGGCAGCACAGUAAGAGCUUGCUCUUACGGGUGGCGAGUGGCGGACGGGUGAGGAAUACAUCGGAAUCUACUUUUUCGUGGGGGAUAACGUAGGGAAACUUACGCUAAUACCGCAUACGACCUACGGGUGAAAGCAGGGGAUCUUCGGACCUUGCGCGAUUGAAUGAGCCGAUGUCGGAUUAGCUAGUUGGCGGGGUAAAGGCCCACCAAGGCGACGAUCCGUAGCUGGUCUGAGAGGAUGAUCAGCCACACUGGAACUGAGACAAGGUCCAGACUCCUACGGGAGGCAGCAGUGGGGAAUAUUGGACAAUGGGAGCAAGCCUGAUCCAGCCAUACCGCGUGGGUGAAGAAGGCCUUCGGGUUGUAAAGCCCUUUUGUUGGGAAAGAAAAGCAGCAGGUUAAUACCCCGCUGUUCUGACGGUACCCAAAGAAUAAGCACCGGCUAACUUCGUG